Molecule: unclassified non-coding RNA, 297 nt
Filed under: Hevea brasiliensis (rubber tree)
Lineage: Eukaryota; Viridiplantae; Streptophyta; Magnoliopsida; Malpighiales; Euphorbiaceae
Source: RNAcentral
UUACAUCAUGGCUUGGGCCAUCAGUAUAUUGCAGCGGCGGAGACAAAGACAAGUUUACCUUCUCUACUUUUUCCUCUCUAUUCCUCCCCUAUGCCCUUUCAAUUUUCUCUUUCACACACUUACUCACCUGUCAUUUACUUUUGCUUAUAGUUUUGCUAAAAUUUUAAGUCUUUACAUGGUUGUCUUAUUCUCUAACUCAACAAUUGUUAAUUUGUAUAUAUUUCAAUCUUUUUUGAAUCAGGAAGCGGCAGCACUUGCAGCUACUGAGGUUGCAUUCAUGCUGCAGGCAGGGCAACG